Long non-coding RNA from Xenopus tropicalis (tropical clawed frog), 534 nucleotides. RefSeq lists it as uncharacterized. The transcript has 3 exons. The record is from RefSeq and is a predicted model, not a curated record. Lineage: Eukaryota; Metazoa; Chordata; Amphibia; Anura; Pipidae.
CCUGACAUCACGGACCAGACACUUAUCAAACCUAAGGAGAGCGUUCAGUGGAGGAGAUCAAAGUUGGGAGGUAUGCUGCUUGUGUACAUUCUACCGUAGUUUGGUGCUUACAUGUGCCUGUGUUAGUACAGCUCCAUAAAGAAGAAUGGGGUGUGUUUCUUCCUGCACUGCCCUGUGGUGGAACGCAGGAGUACGCCAUGGCAGGGAAAAAAAACGCUUAGAAAUCCUAAUUAACUUUCUUAAAGCAGCCAUGGAUCAAGUGAAUUGGCUGGCAUGGGUCAGAGACUGCAGAGUUCAAUGAUACAGGAGGCAGUGGGAAAACGACACAAAGCGCUGGGAAUAAAAUGGGAUUAUAAUAACUCUGAUUGUUAUGUGAGGAACUCUAUCAAAUUCCAUUUACUGCACUCGCCGUGUUCAGCCGGUGGAGCUUCCUGCUCCCAUUAAGCAUAAUGAUGUUGGGGGUUAUUCAGUGUUAUACUGUGUAUGUAUCUGUUAUAUGCCUUCUAUUCUCAAUGCAUGCAUUAAAGAGGAUUU